RNAcentral lists this ribosomal RNA (484 nucleotides) under uncultured bacterium. RNAcentral describes it as "partial 16S ribosomal RNA". It matches the Rfam family "Bacterial small subunit ribosomal RNA", at positions 29 to 507 of the family's 1533-position model. The record is from RNAcentral.
AUUGAACGCUGGCGGAAUGCCUUACACAUGCAAGUCGAGCGGCAGCGCGGCCUUCGGGCUGGCGGCGAGCGGCGAACGGGUGAGUAAUGCAUCGGAACAUGCCCAGUCGUGGGGGAUAACACUUCGAAAGAAGUGCUAAUACCGCAUACGUCCUGAGGGGGAAAGCGGGGGAUCGCAAGACCUCGCGCGAUUGGAGUGGCCGAUGUCAGAUUAGCUAGUUGGUGGGGUAAAGGCCUACCAAGGCGACGAUCUGUAGCUGGUCUGAGAGGAUGAUCAGCCACACUGGGACUGAGACACGGCCCAGACUCCUACGGGAGGCAGCAGUGGGGAAUUUUGGACAAUGGGGGCAACCCUGAUCCAGCCAUUCCGCGUGAGUGAAGAAGGCCUUCGGGUUGUAAAGCUCUUUCGGCAGGAACGAAACGGUGGGCUCUAACAUAGUCCGCUAAUGACGGUACCUGAAGAAGAAGCACCGGCUAACUACGUG